This 406-nucleotide ribosomal RNA is filed under the name uncultured bacterium. RNAcentral's name for it is "bacterial SSU rRNA". It matches the Rfam family "Bacterial small subunit ribosomal RNA", at positions 29 to 424 of the family's 1533-position model. The record is from RNAcentral.
AAUCAACGCUGGCGGCGUGCCUAACACAUGCAAGUCGAACGCGAAAGUCCCGCAAGGGAUUAGUAGAGUGGCAAACGGGUGAGUAACACGUGGGUGACCUGCCUUCGAGCGGGGGAUAACGUCCCGAAAGGGACGCUAAUACCGCAUAACAUCCUGCCUUUUAAGAGGUGGAGAUCAAAGCUGGGGACCGUAAGGCCUGGCGCUGGAAGAGGGGCCCGCGUCUGAUCAGCUAGUUGGGAGGUAACGGCUCACCAAGGCAACGAUCAGUAUCCGGCCUGAGAGGGCGGACGGACACACUGGGACUGAGACACGGCCCAGACUCCUACGGGAGGCAGCAGUGGGGAAUUGUUCGCAAUGGGCGCAAGCCUGACGACGCAACGCCGCGUGGAGGAUGAAGACCUCGGUC